AUUGCUGUCGCUUUCGGUAGGCUCGGCACACGAUAGGACGUAUGAAACGACCAGAAUAUCCGAGACGAAGUAUAGGUAAUGGAACAUGGGAGUAGGGGGUUGAUGGAUACCUCACCGCGCACUGAAAAACACACAAAAAAGGAAGAAAAGAAAAAAGCGCAUAAUCGGAGAACGCUGGCCUAAGUAAACGUUUUGUCCACAAAAAAAUACAGCAUGCAGUGCCGUGAAUCGCUGGGCGCAUGCGUUGAGCCCGCCCUAUGGGAAGAUCCAACUGUGCUGUGUCUGCACACCAAGGAUGGAGCUUUGCUGCCCGCUGCUCGCUUCCGCGGAUUGCGUCUGUGUACGUGUCCAUUCUUUUCCAUGCUGGAUGCGUGAUGACAUGAAUCAGACGAUUCCGAAAGCAAACUUGUUGCCGUCUGCCAGAGAUUAGACCGUCGUUUCUUCAAGGAUGCCUCAACGAGAUCUGUGCUUCAGGGCAGCAAUCCUCGUGGAUGCAAGGCUUGAUACGACCAAUAGCACUUCUGGCGCCAAGCUUGACGCACCUGUCGCACUGGAACGAGGCAGCCUCGGUGCGUCUUCGAGAGCGUUGACUUUUGGUACUGGUCGCGAGUCUACGAACCAGGAUCCGCUAGUAUUACGGGCCUCGACAGGCUCUUUGUCUUGAUGGUACGAGCGGACGACUGCGACAUUCUCGCCGGCACCACGCAGCGCUAGACAUGGAUGUUGCCGGAGAAGCAUUUCGGUUCCUGAAACGCAAGCUUCGGACAGCAAUCUGGGCGAAGAUAUAUGCUGCAGCACUCUUGAUAUCAAGGACGCUUCCGCCAGCGCAUGACCUCCAUUCUAGACGUUCACAAUGCAAAAGCUUUUCACCGCAUCGCUCACGAGUAGGCGUCCGUGGUUUCUUCAGUAUUCAGAGCCUCGAUUCAAGGCGUGUCCAUCGCGUGCACGGGCCAGUAAGGUGCCACGCCCGGCGGCGCACAUGAAAAGUGAACAAGGCACAAAUCGAAACUCUCCCUCUGCGUCAAAUUAUGGUCAUGGCAAUCGUGCUCCCGGGUCUAGGUUCCGAUUCCGAGCGUCCGAAAUAAGACCAUUUCGAGGCCCCGAUAGCACGUUGUUAUGAUCGAGCCUGCCACCGCAUCAUGUCGUGCGGGGCCUCUGUUUCAGGCUGAGCUGCGCUCAUCCUCCGCGAUCGCAUCGAAGUAGCGGCACGCGCUGCUUCUGAUGUAUUCGCUGACCCGUUCAACGGUAGCGGGUCCUGAAAUUCAAGUUUUAACUCGUUCCAAAUUAUUAAAAUAUAGAAUGAAAGCAAUGCAAAAUGAAGCAUGUCUGUCAGCGUUCACGAUCGACUUGACGAGAUGUUUCUAUGCUAGAGGAAAACGGCGCACAAUGUCGAAGAAUGUGCCCGUGCACAAUGAUGUUGUACGCUCGCAACGUAUAAGUGCAUGCGCAGCCGCAGAAACUCGGUACCAGCAAUGCAUGUGUGCGCUCCGAACACGAGCAUGAAACAUCGAUGAAAAUAAUUUCGCAGAAUCUCUCUGAGAAUCCGUCCAUAUGCACCAAGAUGAAAUGGUGCCGUCGUGCAAACCCUCUCCGGCGUUCCAACGCGCAUUUGAGUGAAUAAAAAGCGUCUCCAUAAAGACGGCUCGCCCAUGUGCACCCUUUCCAGCACGCGGCUGGUGUAACUGGAACGCCCCGCGGACUGCCGG
RNA transcript from Cyanidioschyzon merolae strain 10D, 1706 nucleotides. RefSeq lists it as hypothetical. The transcript has a single exon. Lineage: Eukaryota; Rhodophyta; Bangiophyceae; Cyanidiales; Cyanidiaceae. The record is from RefSeq and is a predicted model, not a curated record.